AAGGGCAAUAACACUUGAUAAUUUUGAGCUGCCCAAGAACUUCUCACAGAUAGUUAAGUUCGGCAAGAUUAAUGAAGAUGAAACAACCCUUGUCCAUCAAGAAAGAACAAGGGUUCCUGGAAAGCAUGCCAGAUCCCCCUUUCUCCCUUAUUUUAGUUCUGGUGGAAGCACUUCUGCUGGACCUCCUCUAAUUUUCAACAUCAAGCAUCCAUUUACUGGGGGUUAUUGGAGACGAUGUUGAUCCUGAUUUGUUGGAAGAAUUCAAUAAAUGGUUAUAUUUAGGUACCGACACGGUUUCAAAGAGGAAGAAGGCGCCUUAUACUAUAAAAGAUAACUAGCUCAACUCGUGAUUUGAUUUUGGAGUGGAGAAAGUUGAUAAAAAGGACUGGUUUUAUACUUUGGCACAUCCCGGGCAAAUCCUCAACAACACGCACAUUGAUGUUAUUUUAUACUAUUUGAGGAAGAGAGGAAAGUGUGAUCCUGAAAACAGAACACGGUUUUCAACCACUGAAUGAAUGUUCAAGACUAGAAUAGAACACAUUGAUGAGAGGUACAGUAAUG
This is a non-coding RNA of Nicotiana tabacum (common tobacco), 561 nucleotides long. Lineage: Eukaryota; Viridiplantae; Streptophyta; Magnoliopsida; Solanales; Solanaceae. The record is from RefSeq and is a predicted model, not a curated record.